This 172-nucleotide unclassified non-coding RNA is filed under the name soil metagenome. RNAcentral describes it as "partial internal transcribed spacer 1". The record is from RNAcentral.
CACAACGAAAUAUGAAGCGGCUGGACCUCUUGGGUUACAGCCUUGCUGAAUUAUUUUCACCCAUUGUCUUUUGCGCACUUCUUGUUUCCUGGGGGGUUCGCCCGCCACCUAGGACAAACAUAAACCUUUUUUUAAUGCAGUGCAAUCAGCGUCAGUAACAAAUGUAAUAUUA